UGGGGAAUUUUGGACAAUGGGCGAAAGCCUGAUCCAGCAAUGCCGCGUGUGUGAAGAAGGCCUUCGGGUUGUAAAGCACUUUUGUCCGGAAAGAAAUCCUUGGCUCUAAUACAGUCGGGGGAUGACGGUACCGGAAGAAUAAGCACCGGCUAACUACGUGCCAGCAGCCGCGGUAAUACGUAGGGUGCAAGCGUUAAUCGGAAUUACUGGGCGUAAAGCGUGCGCAGGCGGUUUGCUAAGACCGAUGUGAAAUCCCCGGGCUCAACCUGGGGAACUGCAUUGGUGACUGGCAGGCUAGAGUAUGGCAGAGGGGGGUAGAAUUCCACGUGUAGCAGUGAAAUGCGUAGAGAUGUGGAGGAAUACCGAUGGCGAAGGCAGCCCCCUGGGCAAUACUGACGCUCAUGCACGAAAGCGUGGGGAGCAAACAGGAUUAGAUACCCUGGUAGUCCACGCCCUAAACGAUGUCAACUAGUUGUUGGGGGAUUCAUUUCCUUAGUAACGUAGCUAACGCGUGAAGUUGACCGCCUGGGGAGUACGGUCGCAAGAUUAAAACUCAAAGGAAUUGACGGGGGUCAUA
This 577-nucleotide ribosomal RNA is filed under the name uncultured bacterium. Its description in RNAcentral is "partial 16S ribosomal RNA". It matches the Rfam family "Bacterial small subunit ribosomal RNA", at positions 355 to 924 of the family's 1533-position model. The record is from RNAcentral.